GAUGAACGCUGGCGGCGUGCCUAAUACAUGCAAGUCGAGCGAACAGACGAGGAGCUUGCUCCUCUGACGUUAGCGGCGGACGGGUGAGUAACACGUGGAUAACCUACCUAUAAGACUGGGAUAACUUCGGGAAACCGGAGCUAAUACCGGAUAAUAUAUUGAACUGCAUGGUUCAAUAGUGAAAGACGGUUUUGCUGUCACUUAUAGAUGGAUCCGCGCCGCAUUAGCUAGUUGGUAAGGUAACGGCUUACCAAGGCGACGAUGCGUAGCCGACCUGAGAGGGUGAUCGGCCACACUGGAACUGAGACACGGUCCAGACUCCUACGGGAGGCAGCAGUAGGGAAUCUUCCGCAAUGGGCGAAAGCCUGACGGAGCAACGCCGCGUGAGUGAUGAAGGUCUUCGGAUCGUAAAACUCUGUUAUUAGGGAAGAACAAAUGUGUAAGUAACUAUGCACGUCUUGACGGUACCUAAUCAGAAAGCCACGGCUAACUACGUG
RNAcentral lists this ribosomal RNA (497 nucleotides) under uncultured bacterium. RNAcentral describes it as "partial 16S ribosomal RNA". It matches the Rfam family "Bacterial small subunit ribosomal RNA", at positions 28 to 507 of the family's 1533-position model. The record is from RNAcentral.